GUGAAUCAUCGAAUUUUUGAACGCAAAUUGCGCUUCCUGGCAUCCCGGGAGUAUGCCUGUUUGGGGGUCAGUAUUAAUAUAAAAUCGGUUUAGUUACAAAUUGUGACGUUUCAGGGGUUUGGGCUAUCUUAACAUUUUUGGUUAAGAGGCUUAAAAUUGACCUUAUUUGUGGAUUUUUUAACGUGUAUAAAUUUUUUUUAUUCUUCUAUUAUUAAUGCCAAAAUAUUAUUAGAUGAGAUC
RNAcentral lists this unclassified non-coding RNA (240 nucleotides) under Glomeraceae sp. RNAcentral describes it as "partial contains 5.8S ribosomal RNA and internal transcribed spacer 2". The stretch from base 1 to 70 matches the Rfam family "5.8S ribosomal RNA", at positions 84 to 154 of the family's 154-position model. Lineage: Eukaryota; Fungi; Glomeromycota; Glomeromycetes; Glomerales; Glomeraceae. The record is from RNAcentral.